Anguilla anguilla (European eel) is the source of this 459-nucleotide long non-coding RNA. RefSeq lists it as uncharacterized. The transcript is spliced from 6 exons. The record is from RefSeq and is a predicted model, not a curated record. NCBI's taxonomy places the organism in Eukaryota, Metazoa, Chordata, Actinopteri, Anguilliformes, Anguillidae.
AUACUUUCAAAUUCAUCAAACCUUCACUGCAAACUCCUGUUGUACAAGUGGCCGGAUUAAAUAUGAAGACUUUCAUUUUGCUGAUGUGUCUCAUUGGAGUGAGCUUGGCUCUUCCAAUUGACGUUUCUGAGGAAGAGUAUGCACCUUCUUCGCUUACAGCACAUCACCGAGUUGCACGUUCCAGUUCAGAUUCCGAUUCCAGAGAGGCACCACGAAUGCAAAUGCGGGAUAUGAUGCAACUUAUGAGCCUCCUCCAGAGACUACUCCCCCUCAUCCGCCCUGCUCCUGUUCCAGCAACUCCUGCAGCUCGUGUUACAACUGCUCCUAAAGUUCCUGCUACUACCAAAAAAUAACCUGGACGGGAGACCUGCACCAAUCAGGAACUCCAGGAAUCAGUCUGCAGUCUAGACAUAACAUAAAUAGUCUGAAAUCAACUUAGUCUGAUGAUAUCCACCAUGG